RNAcentral lists this ribosomal RNA (237 nucleotides) under uncultured bacterium. RNAcentral describes it as "partial 16S ribosomal RNA". It matches the Rfam family "Bacterial small subunit ribosomal RNA", at positions 118 to 351 of the family's 1533-position model. The record is from RNAcentral.
UGAGUAACCUGCCCUUAACUCUGGGAUAAGCCUGGGAAACUGGGUCUAAUACCGGAUAUGACUCCUCAUCGCAUGGUGGGGGGUGGAAAGCUUUAUUGUGGUUUUGGAUGGACUCGCGGCCUAUCAGCUUGUUGGUGAGGUAAUAGCUCACCAAGGCGAUGACGGGUAGCCGUCCUGAGAGGGUGACCGGCCACACUGGGACUGAGACACGGCCCAGACCUCCGUACGGGGAGGCAG